GAUCCUGGCUCAGAACGAACGCUGGCGGCAGGCUUAACACAUGCAAGUUGAACGGGAUUUGUGUGGUGCUUGCACCAUAUAAUGAGAGUAGCGCACUGGUGAGUAACACGUGGGAACGUACCUUUUGGUGGGGGACAACAUCUGGAAACGGAUGCUAAUACCGCAUAAGACCUGAGGGUGAAAGAUUUAUCGCCGAAAGGACGGCCCGCGGGAAGAUUAGGCAGUUGGUGGGGUAAAGGCCUACCAAACCUACGAUCUA
RNAcentral lists this ribosomal RNA (259 nucleotides) under uncultured bacterium. RNAcentral's name for it is "partial 16S ribosomal RNA". It matches the Rfam family "Bacterial small subunit ribosomal RNA", at positions 15 to 283 of the family's 1533-position model. The record is from RNAcentral.